CAAGAGGAUUCUUGGUAAUUCUCUAAUUGUUCUUCUAAUUGUUCUUCUAAUUAUCUUUGUUCUUCAAUAUUAUGAAUAUGACUUUGUUCUACUUCAAUAUAUUGCUUAUGACUUUGCUCUACUUGUUUAUAUUCAAGAUUAUAUUGUUCUUAGUUUAUCAUAGUUAUAUACUUGGCUUAGUUAGAUUGGAUCUAUAUACAUGUUU
This 205-nucleotide long non-coding RNA is filed under the name Sorghum bicolor (sorghum). RNAcentral describes it as "long non-coding RNA (SBIC_LNC016259)". The record is from RNAcentral. Lineage: Eukaryota; Viridiplantae; Streptophyta; Magnoliopsida; Poales; Poaceae.